This 77-nucleotide transfer RNA is filed under the name Pseudomonadota bacterium. RNAcentral's name for it is "tRNA-Pro". It matches the Rfam family "tRNA". From Rfam's summary of the family: Transfer RNA (tRNA) molecules are approximately 80 nucleotides in length. Their secondary structure includes four short double-helical elements and three loops (D, anti-codon, and T loops). Further hydrogen bonds mediate the characteristic L-shaped molecular structure. tRNAs have two regions of fundamental functional importance: the anti-codon, which is responsible for specific mRNA codon recognition, and the 3' end, to which the tRNAs corresponding amino acid is attached (by aminoacyl-tRNA synthetases). tRNAs cope with the degeneracy of the genetic code in two manners: having more than one tRNA (with a specific anti-codon) for a particular amino acid; and 'wobble' base-pairing, i.e. permitting non-standard base-pairing at the 3rd anti-codon position. Lineage: Bacteria; Pseudomonadati; Pseudomonadota. RNAcentral also lists the same sequence under 2 other names. The record is from RNAcentral.
CGGGGCGUGGCGCAGCUUGGUAGCGCGCUUGCUUUGGGAGCAAGAGGCCGGCGGUUCAAAUCCGCCCGCCCCGACCA